Molecule: ribosomal RNA, 255 nt
Filed under: uncultured bacterium
Lineage: Bacteria
Description: partial 16S ribosomal RNA
Rfam family: Bacterial small subunit ribosomal RNA
Source: RNAcentral
UACGUAGGGUGCAAGCGUUAAUCGGAAUUACUGGGCGUAAAGCGUGCGCAGGCGGUUUUGUAAGUCUGUCGUGAAAUCCCCGGGCUCAACCUGGGAAUUGCGAUGGAGACUGCAAGGCUAGAAUCUGGCAGAGGGGGGUAGAAUUCCACGUGUGAGCAGUGAAAUGCGUAGAGAUGUGGAGGAACACCGAUGGCGAAGGCAGCCUCCUGGGCCAGCACCUGACGCUCUGCACGAAAGCGUUGGGGAGCAAACAGG